Podarcis lilfordi (Lilford's wall lizard) is the source of this 744-nucleotide non-coding RNA. The record is from the annotation of a GenBank genome assembly. NCBI's taxonomy places the organism in Eukaryota, Metazoa, Chordata, Lepidosauria, Squamata, Lacertidae.
UGAUUUCAGCAAGGCAUUUGACAAGGUGCCCCAUGAUAUUCUUGUAAAGAAGCUGGUAAAAUGCGGUCUUGACUAUGCUACCACUCAGUGGAUUUGUAACUGGCUGACUGACCGAACCCAAAGGGUGCUCAUCAAUGGUUCCUCUUCAUCCUGGAGAAGAGUGACUAGUGGGGUGCCACAGGGUUCUGUCUUGGGCCCGGUCUUAUUCAACAUCUUUAUCAACGACUUGGAUGAUGGACUCAAGGGCAUCCUGAUCAAAUUUGCAGAUGACACCAAACUGGGAGGGGUGGCUAACACCCCAGAGGACAGGAUCACACUUCAAAAUGACCUUGACAGAUUAGAGAACUGGGCCAAAACAAACAAGAUGAAUUUUAACAGGGAGAAAUGUAAAGUAUUGCACUUGGGCAAAAAAAAUGAGAGGCACAAAUACAAGAUGGGGGACACCUGGCUUGAGAGCAGUACAUGUGAAAAGGAUCUAGGAGUCUUGGUUGACCACAAACUUGACAUGAGCCAACAGUGUGACAUGGCAGCUAAAAAAGCCAAUGCAAUUCUGGGCUGCAUCAAUAGGAGUAUAGCAUCUAGAUCAAGGGAAGUAAUAGUGCCACUGUAUUCUGCUCUGGUCAGACCUCACCUGGAGUACUGUGUCCAGUUCUGGGCACCACAGUUCAAGAAGGACACUGACAAACUGGAACGUGUCCAGAGGAGGGCAACCAAAAUGGUCAAAGGCCUGGAAACGAUGCCUUA